This 66-nucleotide transfer RNA is filed under the name Xylophaga dorsalis. RNAcentral describes it as "tRNA-Ser". The record is from RNAcentral. Lineage: Eukaryota; Metazoa; Mollusca; Bivalvia; Myida; Xylophagaidae.
GAGAGUAAUAGGUUGCAAAAAGAUUUCUAAUUUUUUAGUAAGCAGUUCGAAUCUGUUUUGCUCUUU